Molecule: ribosomal RNA, 478 nt
Filed under: uncultured bacterium
Lineage: Bacteria
Description: partial 16S ribosomal RNA
Rfam family: Bacterial small subunit ribosomal RNA
Source: RNAcentral
GAUGAACGCUAGCGGGAGGCCUAACACAUGCAAGCCGAGCGGUAUGGAUAGCUUGCUAUCCAGAGAGCGGCGUACGGGUGCGUAACACGUGUGCAACCUACCUUUAUCUGGGGGAUAGCCUUUCGAAAGGAAGAUUAAUACCCCAUAAUAUAAUGAUUGGCAUCAAUUAUUAUUGAAAACUCCGGUGGAUAGAGAUGGGCACGCGCAAGAUUAGAUAGUUGGUGAGGUAACGGCUCACCAAGUCAAUGAUCUUUAGGGGUCCUGAGAGGGAGAUCCCCCACACUGGUACUGAGACACGGACCAGACUCCUACGGGAGGCAGCAGUGAGGAAUAUUGGACAAUGGGUGAGAGCCUGAUCCAGCCAUCCCGCGUGAAGGAUGACGGUCCUAUGGAUUGUAACUUCUUUUGUACAGGGAUAAACCUACCCUCGUGAGGGUAGCUGAAGGUACUGUACGAAUAAGCACCGGCUAACUCCGUG